This 517-nucleotide long non-coding RNA is filed under the name Prunus persica (peach). Its description in RNAcentral is "long non-coding RNA (PPER_LNC008055)". The record is from RNAcentral. Lineage: Eukaryota; Viridiplantae; Streptophyta; Magnoliopsida; Rosales; Rosaceae.
GAAGGAACAAAGAACAUGCACGGUCAAAGAGCUGCAGUCGUUUUGCAGAAGCUGCAGGCGCUCUAGCAGCAGAAUGGUGGUUUCUCACCCAGGCACUGGCACUCAAGCGGAAGCUAUAGGCGCUCGAGCGGGUAGAGUGAGAAUUCAUACUCCGACCUAGGCGCUCGAGUGGGAGGAACGAAUCCAGCACAGCUCCUUGGCGAAUUAUAAAUAGGCACUUUAGCACUAUGACACUUUAGCACUUUUGCGUUAGAUUUCUUCCUAGUUUUGGUGUCCUUUAAGUUUCCUAUUCCUUGUAUAAUUGUACUAAAGCCAUAUGACAUAUAAAUAGGCACUUCAGCACUAGGUUAUUAUAACGUGAGAAAACUAAGGCAUUAAAUUGGAUUUAAGAGAGCAAAGGGGGUUCUUCAUUGUAACCAAAGGGUUUCUUUCUUACUAGUUAAUUUCUCGGGGAUCACCAAAAGGACAUAGGAACAACGCUGAACCUCUAUAAAUUCUUGUGUUCUUUGUGUGCUUG